This 254-nucleotide ribosomal RNA is filed under the name uncultured bacterium. Its description in RNAcentral is "partial 16S ribosomal RNA". It matches the Rfam family "Bacterial small subunit ribosomal RNA", at positions 524 to 776 of the family's 1533-position model. The record is from RNAcentral.
UACGUAGGGGGCAAGCGUUGUCCGGAUUUAUUGGGCGUAAAGCGCGUGUAGGCGGCCACACAGGUCCGCUGUGAAAACUCGGGGGCUCAACCUCGAGCUGUCGGUGGAAACCGUGUGGCUAGAGUCCGGAAGAGGAGACUGGAAUUCCCGGUGUAGCGGUGGAAUGCGCAGAUAUCAGGAGGAACACCAAUAGCGAAGGCAGCUCGCUGGGACGUUACUGACACUGAGGCGCGAAAGCGUGGGGAGCGAACAGG